UAAGAACUCACACUAGACGCAUUAACUUUACAAGCACUGACAACCCUGGAUGUACUUCCGAGCUUACUUGAAAAUGCACGCAACUCUGAGGAUGUGUUUAAUGCUCCAGUAGGGGCGAGGGGGGGCGUCCACCUGUGGCCUGCGAGGCACUCCUGUGUGCAGACAGCUCGAUGGACUGGAACGCGCCCGGACAUCCCCGGAAUCCUCCCUGGGUUCCUGGCAGCUGCUCCUUCUUCACAUGCAGAACUAGGGAUCGAACUCAGGACCUUGCACUUGACAGGGAGCCAUGGCGCCACUGAGCUGCAUCCCCUGCCCUAUGCUUAAUAUUUUUAAAGCUUCUCAUGCAGUCUUGAUCUUCUACUUUUCAAAAGUAGACAAUUACCAAGGCACACUGGGGAAAUAUGACCGGGACUGGGCAGAACUUGCAAAAAUAACUACAAAGCCAGCCCCGAGCAGUCGCUAUUGGUGGGAACAGCGCUGCCACCCCACAAGCAAAGACAUCCAGGCACUUUGUCCCUUGUCACCGCCCCCUCCGCCUGCCAACUUUGAGAGGAUUCAACUACUUGGCUUUGGAAUUAAAAUGCUCAGCCCCAGCCACCCCGAGAAUGCGCCUCGAGCCACCCGGCGCACUAAUGUUGAGCCACGAGAGACGGGCAGGUGCGCCUUGUAGGCCUUUCUGCCUUCACAACCGGCGCCAAGUCGGCGGCCCUGGCAGGGUCUCGCAGGCAGGCAGGCAGGAGGAGAGGGCAAGCGGCCGGCGGCGGAAGACGUUUCAGAAAGAUUUAAGCCUUUUGAAGUCGACCACUUACUGUGUUUUGACACUGUUGGAUUGACAAUUGUCCAGCUGGAUGGGGGCGACCUACCCCCUACACUUUAAAAAUACAUAAGAGUUGACUCCUUGGUCCUUGUUCUUUUGUGCUACGACAAAACUACGUAACUACGACAGCGCGGGUUUGGGGAACCUGUCGGUGGAGGUCUUUAUGACAUUGGUGUUCAUGUA
Molecule: long non-coding RNA, 1000 nt
Filed under: Heterocephalus glaber (naked mole-rat)
Lineage: Eukaryota; Metazoa; Chordata; Mammalia; Rodentia; Bathyergidae
Description: lncRNA (ENSHGLG00100051865.1)
Source: RNAcentral